UAGCUCAGUCAGUUGAGCUUGGUGCUGAUAACACCGAGGUCGCGGGUUCGAUCCCUGU
Molecule: transfer RNA, 58 nt
Filed under: Apaloderma vittatum (bar-tailed trogon)
Lineage: Eukaryota; Metazoa; Chordata; Aves; Trogoniformes; Trogonidae
Rfam family: tRNA
About the family: Transfer RNA (tRNA) molecules are approximately 80 nucleotides in length.
Source: Rfam by way of RNAcentral